Molecule: long non-coding RNA, 657 nt
Filed under: Elaeis guineensis (African oil palm)
Lineage: Eukaryota; Viridiplantae; Streptophyta; Magnoliopsida; Arecales; Arecaceae
Description: long non-coding RNA (EGUI_LNC020474)
Source: RNAcentral
CCUGCUAAAUGGAACAAACAAUCAGAUCAUUCUCCACGGACGAUAACGGCAAAGUCUGAGGGAAUACAAUCAGACGAAGUCAUCACACUACCUGGCACCUAACCAGCAUCAAAAUUGGCAAGCCAAUCUGCAACCUAAUCAUGAAUUCCCUUCCUAUGGGUAUAAUAAUUCUCACUUGCAAUGCACCUUGCAACACCUGUCACCAGCCAGCCACCCAGCAAUUAACAGUUAAUGAGUCUCCUUCAUCUAAGGUGGUCUUGGUCUGUCAAAAUGAUUUUCCAUUGCAAAUUGCUCAUGGUUCUGCUGAUGGAACAGUAAUUUCAUGAAAGGUUAUUGCUUAUAGUCCCCCAGAUUAGAUCACCUAUACUCUAUGAUCACUUAUUCAGAAACCAGAUCCUGCUUUGUCAUUUUCCUCUUUUAAGAUUGAGGUAUUAAUUGAGGACUGUUGGCAAUGCAAUUUCCCAUGCAUUUACGAAACAAGGUUGAGCCAUGAGAGAGGAUUUAUUGCUUCGCCUCCUAGACCGGCUGCUCUUCUUCUUCUUCUUGUUUUUUUGAUAGGAAAAGAAUAAACAAAGAGAAUGACGCUCAAUCUGUGGUCAUGGUACCUCUCAUUUGCUUUACCUUGUAGACUAGUUCUUCCUUCUUCUUUUUUUUUCU